Molecule: transfer RNA, 81 nt
Filed under: Gordonia insulae
Lineage: Bacteria; Bacillati; Actinomycetota; Actinomycetes; Mycobacteriales; Gordoniaceae
Description: tRNA-Pro
Source: RNAcentral
CGAUGCCGGCGGCCCGGAGCUUGAGUACCGCGGUCUGGGAGAUCGCGGAGAUCUCCGGUGCGUCCCAGAGGGCGGCGGCCA